UAUGAACUCAGAGCUUCAUUCAUGCUAAGC
Molecule: non-coding RNA, 30 nt
Filed under: Rattus norvegicus (Norway rat)
Lineage: Eukaryota; Metazoa; Chordata; Mammalia; Rodentia; Muridae
Source: RNAcentral